AGAGUUUGAUCAUGGCUCAGAUUGAACGCUGGCGGCAUGCCUUACACAUGCAAGUCGAACGGUAACGCGGGGGCAACCCUGGCGACGAGUGGCGAACGGGUGAGUAAUACAUCGGAACAUAUCCAGUAGCGGGGGAUAACCUAUCGAAAGAUGGACUAAUACCGCAUACGAUCUACGGAUGAAAGCAGGGGACCGCAAGGCCUUGCACUAUUGGAGUGGCCGAUGUCGGAUUAGCUAGUUGGUGGGGUAAAAGCUUACCAAGGCGACGAUCCGUAGCUGGUCUGAGAGGACGAUCAGCCACACUGGAACUGAGACACGGUCCAGACUCCUACGGGAGGCAGCAGUGGGGAAUUUUGGACAAUGGGCGCAAGCCUGAUCCAGCCAUGCCGCGUGAGUGAAGAAGGCCUUCGGGUUGUAAAGCUCUUUCGGUGAAGACGAAACGGUUCAUGCUAAUAACGUGAACUAAUGACGGUACUCACAGAAGAAGCACCGGCUAACUACGUGCCAGCAGCCGCGGUAAUACGUAGGGUGCAGGCGUUAAUCGGAAUUACUGGGCGUAAAGCGUGCGCAGGCGGUUUGCUAAGACAGGUGUGAAAUCCCCGGGCUUAACCUGGGAAUUGCGCUUGUAACUGGCAAGCUAGAGUGUGGCAGAGGGGGGUGGAAUUCCACGUGUAGCAGUGAAAUGCGUAGAUAUGUGGAGGAACACCGAUGGCGAAGGCAGCCCCCUGGGUUAACACUGACGCUCAUGCACGAAAGCGUGGGGAGCAAACAGGAUUAGAUACCCUGGUAGUCCACGCCCUAAACUAUGUCAACUAGUUGUCGGGGAAGAAAGUCCUUGGUAACGAAGCUAACGCGUGAAGUUGACCGCCUGGGGAGUACGGCCGCAAGGUUAAAACUCAAAGGAAUUGACGGGGACCCGCACAAGCGGUGGAUUAUGUGGAUUAAUUCGAUGCAACGCGAAAAACCUUACCUACCCUUGACAUGCUAGGAAGCCCGCAGAGAUGUGGGUGUGCCCGAAAGGGAACCUAGACACAGGUGCUGCAUGGCUGUCGUCAGCUCGUGUCGUGAGAUGUUGGGCUAAGUCCCGCAACGAGCGCAACCCUUGCCAUUAGUUGCUACAUCCAGUUGGGCACUCUAAUGGGACCGCCGGUGACAAACCGGAGGAAGGUGGGGAUGACGUCAAGUCCUCAUGGCCCUUAUGGGUAGGGCUUCACACGUAAUACAAUGGUCGGUACAGAGGGCUGCCAACCCGCAAGGGGGAGCUAAUCCCAGAAAGCCGAUCGUAGUCCGGAUUGUAGUCUGCAACUCGACUGCAUGAAGCCGGAAUCGCUAGUAAUCGCGGAUCAGCAUGUCGCGGUGAAUACGUUCCCGGGUCUUGUACACACCGCCCGUCACACCAUGGGAGUGGGUUCCACCAGAAGUAGUUAGCCUAACCGCAAGGAGGGCGAUUACCACGGUGAGAUUCAUGACUGGGGUGAAGUCGUAACAAGGUA
This 1493-nucleotide ribosomal RNA is filed under the name metagenome. RNAcentral describes it as "bacterial SSU rRNA". It matches the Rfam family "Bacterial small subunit ribosomal RNA". The record is from RNAcentral.